Alnus glutinosa is the source of this 3191-nucleotide RNA transcript. It is a transcript of the gene named protein WHAT'S THIS FACTOR 1, chloroplastic, with no coding region annotated. The record is from RefSeq and is a predicted model, not a curated record. Lineage: Eukaryota; Viridiplantae; Streptophyta; Magnoliopsida; Fagales; Betulaceae. The transcript has 3 exons.
AGACGUGAAAGGUUGCAGGCUAAACUUUUUUACUCUCUCUCUCGCCCAACGUCCCUAACCUCAGCAGAAGCACCUCCCACUCCCAGGGUCUCUCUCAGUACUUGUCAAAGUAAUACCUUACCUGUGCGUCCUUUCUCAAGGAGGGCUCAGACCCAAUAGCUUGCACAAUUGAUCAGACACGUAGCUCAAUAUCCUCAGAUGGUAAGGAAAUCUGAAAGAAAAUCCAGCACCCUGUUCAUGCAGUAUACCUUGCUGCAGAUGAAGCAGCUAUCAUUAUCACCUAUGUAGCUAUAUUCCUUGAUCAGUAGUGCUUAUCAGUAAGAAUUUUGCUUCAACCUGCUCAAUAGCAACCUUUUGAGGGACUAUUUUAUGUUACCAUCAAUUGGAAAGAAUGAGACUCAUGGUAUAAUAUUAUGUAAGCUCCUGGCAUUUUUACCCUCCUUCAACAAGUUGUAGGCUUUAAAGCUUGUCGUUACUACAAAUUUGAAAAAUGGCAUUGUCCCUGCCUUUCUCAUCCCAAAGGGAUUGGCCAAUCUCUUUCCUGAAUUCUAGUUUCCUCCCUAGGAAUCCUUCUUUGUUACAAGGUAAGAUUAACCAAACUUACAAGAGCAGUAAGAGCUUCAGAAAUCUGUCCAUCUCUAUUUCUUGUUCAUCUCUGAAAAUUGUUCAAAGCCCUUCACUAGACAGGCAUAUUGUGAAGCAAAACAGGAUUCGGUUUGUUCAAAAGCUGAAAACACUGCUCCUUUCUAAACCAAAACACUAUAUGCAACUCUACAUUCUUUCAAAAUGUCGAUCCUACCUUUCCCUUUCAAAGCCCCGCUCAAUCCUCUCUAUGAUUCAUCGUUAUCCUUUAAUUUUUGAAGUCUUCUCAAUCCCAAGACCACCCUUACCACUCAAUGCUACAAAAUCAUAUUCCCAACUUUGUGUCCGUCUAACCCCAGCAGCAGCAGCCCUUGCCUCCCAGGAAUUAAAUCUCAAAUCAGCAAUCUCAAUGACCUUGGCAACCAAACUCCAGAAACUUCUCAUGCUUUCUUCUCACCGUCGGCUUCUUCUGUCAAAGUUGGUUCACCUUGCUCCAGAUCUUGGCCUCCCCCCUAAUUUCCGUUCCCGUCUCUGCAAUGACCACCCUGACAAAUUUAAGACUGUGGAUACCUCCUAUGGCCGUGCACUUGAGCUUGUAUCUUGGGAUCCACACUUGGCAAAUCCUCUACCCUCUCCUAAAGUUCAUUCACGUGGGAUGAUAGUAGACAGGCCUUUGAAAUUUAAACAGCUGAGACUUCGAAAGGGAUUGAACUUGAAGAGACAUCACCAGGAUUUUCUGAUCAAGUUUGGGGAAAUGCCAGCUGUAUGCCCUUAUAAUACUUCUGUGGGGGUGUUAGCAAAAGAAUCCAUGGAAGAAGAGAAAAGAGCUUGUGCGGUGGUGAGAGAGGUGCUGGGGAUGAUGAUUGAAAAGAGGACUUUAAUUGACCACUUGACUCAUUUCAGGAAGGAGUUUGGGCUACCCAACAAGUUGAGGCGAAUGUUUGUGAGGCACCCAGAGUUAUUCUACGUGAGUUUGAAAGGGCAGAGGGACUCUGUGUUUUUGGUGGAGGGGUAUGAUGAGAAAGGAGACCUGUUGGAGAAGGACGAGACUUUGAUUAUAAAAGACCAGUUGAUGGCGUUGGUUAGGGAAGGGAACAGGAUGAGAAGAGAGAGAAGAAAGGCUAGUAUAUAUAGCUAUGGCACUGGUGACUGUAAUGAUGAUGGUGAUGAUGAUAACACAGUUGAUAACAAUAAUGAUGAUCAUGAUGAUGGGUUGGAUGAUUUGUUUGAUUAUGAAGAUUCAGAUUUGGAUUGUGUCGUCAUCGGUGAUGAGAGCAACGAGUCAUUAGGCCACAUGGAGAAUGGGGCGUUUUGGACUGCAGAUUCUGCUUCUCUUCUUAAUGAUGUGGAUGGAGCAAAUAUGGAACCUUGGUAAUAAUGAAUGUUGAUGAAACAACGUACAUAUCUUAUGGAAAAAUAGUAAAAGAACAAUCUUACACUGCUCGAGCCAUAUUGAUCUUUUCUACUGGGUACAAGUAUAUGUCAACCUACAGGUUGGGUGCUUGGUUGGUUAAUGAUGCCACAAUGCGAACAAGCUUUAGUGGGCACUGAGAGACGAAAAGGUUACAAUUUCCAACUUUGGUGUUUACACUGUUAAUUCGAUUGGCACAGGAAUACGAGAGACUGUUGAUACUUUACAAAGGCACAUGGGCAUAUCCCAACAAAAUAGAAGACUCGAUUAAAAGGGCAUAUCCUCCUCACCACAAAACAAACAAGAUCAUAGCCUUGAAAAGGCCUCCACAACUAUCACAAAGGGAGGUGUACCCGGCUGUAGGAUGGUGGAAAUUGGUAUGGUUUCCAACUUCUAUCCCUAAACAUUCCUUUUUUAUAUGACUUGUCUUCCGGAAUACAUUGGUCACUAAGGAAAAAAUGUGUAGGUGGGGUUACACUGGAUGCACAUUGUGCUUAUUCUGCCGUAGUGCCCAAGAGAACCGAGAAUACCUCUUCUUUAGGUGUAGCUUCAGUAGUCGAAUUUGGUCUAAUAUCCUGGCCGAGUGUUCCAUUUCUAAUGCUCCUUUGGAUUGGGAUGCUAUUGAAGAUUGGGGCUUGAAGGAAUUAAAUGGCAGAGGUAUUAGAGCACGAUUGGGGAGGUUUUGUUUGGGGUCUACUAUUUACAAUAUUUAGAAACAGAGGAAUGCUCUUCUGCAUAAUGCCUCGCCUAAAACAACUUAUCUAUUAUGAAUUGUAUUAGAUGGGAAGUUCGUUCAAGGCUGGUGGCUAAUGAGCAAUUCAAGCCUCUCAAUCAUAGCUUAGUGUUUUGUUGGAACCUGCACACCUCUGUUGGUUCGGUUUGAGGAUGCAGGAAGUGGUUGUUUUGGUGGUUGUUUUGCUGUAUGUUGUCUUUGUGCCAGUUUGGUGUUGCUCUACUUUGUGCUUUUUCGGGCUGUUUUUGCUGUUGAUCUUGUGGCUUUGGUCUUGUUCACCUCUGCUACUUGUCUCUUGAGGUUGUAGCUUGUGUUUUUUUUCGUUUUUCAGGCUUGUAUUUCUGGCCUCUAAGAUGACUUUCUCUGUAUUGAGAUUGUGUUCCAGAUUGUUUUGUUUCUGGAGUGGAGUGUAUGUUGAGUGUUGUUCAAUGAAAUAUUUUAUUCAUCGAAAAAAAAAAAAAAAAA